Molecule: transfer RNA, 58 nt
Filed under: Candidatus Zambryskibacteria bacterium CG22_combo_CG10-13_8_21_14_all_42_17
Lineage: Bacteria; Candidatus Zambryskiibacteriota
Description: tRNA-Val
Rfam family: tRNA
About the family: Transfer RNA (tRNA) molecules are approximately 80 nucleotides in length.
Source: RNAcentral
UAGCUCAGUUGGUAGAGCAUCCCCUUGACGUGGGGAGGGUCAGAGGUUCGAGUCCUCU